This 315-nucleotide ribosomal RNA is filed under the name Escherichia coli. RNAcentral describes it as "bacterial SSU rRNA". It matches the Rfam family "Bacterial small subunit ribosomal RNA", at positions 1 to 312 of the family's 1533-position model. The record is from RNAcentral. Lineage: Bacteria; Pseudomonadati; Pseudomonadota; Gammaproteobacteria; Enterobacterales; Enterobacteriaceae.
AAAUUGAAGAGUUUGAUCAUGGCUCAGAUUGAACGCUGGCGGCAGGCCUAACACAUGCAAGUCGAACGGUAACAGGAAGAAGCUUGCUUCUUUGCUGACGAGUGGCGGACGGGUGAGUAAUGUCUGGGAAACUGCCUGAUGGAGGGGGAUAACUACUGGAAACGGUAGCUAAUACCGCAUAACGUCGCAAGACCAAAGAGGGGGACCUUCGGGCCUCUUGCCAUCGGAUGUGCCCAGAUGGGAUUAGCUAGUAGGUGGGGUAACGGCUCACCUAGGCGACGAUCCCUAGCUGGUCUGAGAGGAUGACCAGCCACA